AGUGAACGCUGGCGGUAGGCCUAACACAUGCCAGUCGAACGGCAGCACAGUAAGAGCUUGCUCUUACGGGUGGCGAGUGGCGGACGGGUGAGGAAUACAUCGGAAUCUACUUUUUCGUGGGGGAUAACGUAGGGAAACUUACGCUAAUACCGCAUACGACCUACGGGUGAAAGCAGGGGAUCUUCGGACCUUGCGCGAUUGAAUGAGCCGAUGUCGGAUUAGCUAGUUGGCGGGGUAAAGGCCCACCAAGGCGACGAUCCGUAGCUGGUCUGAGAGGAUGGUCGGCCACACUGGAACUGAGACACGGUCCAGACUCCUGCGGGAGGCACCAGUGGGGAAUAUUGGACAAUGGUGGCAGGCCUGAUCCAGCCAUACCGCGUGUGUGAAGAAGACCUUCGGGUUGUAAAGCCCGUUUGUUGGGAAAGAAAAGCAGCAGGUUAAUACCCCGCUGUUCUGACGGUACCGAAUGAAUAAGCACCGGCUAACUUCGUG
RNAcentral lists this ribosomal RNA (492 nucleotides) under uncultured bacterium. Its description in RNAcentral is "partial 16S ribosomal RNA". It matches the Rfam family "Bacterial small subunit ribosomal RNA", at positions 29 to 507 of the family's 1533-position model. The record is from RNAcentral.